RNAcentral lists this ribosomal RNA (432 nucleotides) under uncultured bacterium. RNAcentral's name for it is "bacterial SSU rRNA". It matches the Rfam family "Bacterial small subunit ribosomal RNA", at positions 917 to 1350 of the family's 1533-position model. The record is from RNAcentral.
GGACCCGCACAAGCGGUGGAGCAUGUGGUUUAAUUCGAUGCAACGCGAAAAACCUUACCUACUCUUGACAUACUUGGAAGCUCUUGUAAUGAGAGUGUGCCUUUUGGAACCAAGAUACAGGUGCUGCAUGGCUGUCGUCAGCUCGUGUCGUGAGAUGUUCCGUUAAGUCGGAUAACGAGCGCAACCCUUACCCUUAUUUGCCAGCGAUUCGGUCGGGAACUAUAAGGGGACUGCCGGUGAUAAACCGGAGGAAGGUGAGGACGACGUCAAGUCAUCAUGGCCCUUACGAGUAGGGCUACACACGUGCUACAAUGGGGAAUACAGACGGACGCUAAGCCGCGAGGUGGUGCUAAUCCUAGAAAGUUUCUCGUAGUCCGGAUUGGAGUCUGCAACUCGCCUACGUGAAGGCGGAAUCGCUAGUAAUCGCAGGUC